UGGGCGGCCGCUUCCCGGCCAGCCGCACGGGUAACCGCUGUGUCCCACCAGGAGCGGAGGAUGGGCGAGCCCGUGACGAAUUCCACGUACGUCCGCUGCCUGAGCUACGGGCUCUUGAGGCGGCUGGCAGAGUUCAUCGACCCGCAGGAAGGGUGGAAGAAACUUGCGGUGGACAUAACCAACCCGUCCGGUGAAAGCAGAUAUAGCCAAGCGCAUAUAAGGAGAUUUGAGACAUUUGUACAAAUGGGAAAGAGCCCCACAUGUGAAUUGCUUUAUGACUGGGGAACCACAAACUGCACGGUUGCUGAUCUUGUGGAUCUGCUGAUUAGGAAUCAGUUCCUAGCACCAGCAAGCCUUUUGCUUCCAGAAGCUGUAAGGACGCCAGAAGAAGUUACAUUACCUCUUUCUUCACAGGAAACCUUGCCUAUACAUGAGAAACAACUACCUGUACAGGAAAUAGAAGUGGCAUCUGUAAAGCUUGUUUUAGCUCAGAGUACUGAGAGGCAGCAUUCAGAUUCUUCCUACUUAAGUGAAGAAAACAGCAGCUCACAGUCCAGUAACACAGAUUUUCAGAAUUUUUUGUUUCAUGACUUGGAAAGCAUUACAAAUAAUUUUGAUGCUCGACCAGAAUCAGCUGGAGGUAAUAAACUGGGAGAAGGUGGCUUUGGCAUUGUGUUCAAAGGCUACAUCAGUGGCAAAAACGUGGCUGUCAAGAAACUCAUUGCUAUGGUUGAUGUUAGUGUUGAGGAUUUGAAACAGCAGUUUGAGCAAGAAAUAAACAUAAUGGCAAAGUGUCGGCAUGAAAAUUUAGUAGAAUUACUUGGUUUCUCAAGUGAUGGUGCUCAGCCAUGCCUGGUGUAUGAAUACAUGCCCAAUGGUUCAUUGCUUGACAGACUUGCUUGUCUGAUUUUUACUUGCCUUUUCUUCUUAAUCAAGGAUGAAACUCCACCAAUUCCUUGGAAUAUGAGGUGUAAAAUUGUUCAAGGUACAGCAAAUGGCAUCAACUUUUUGCAUGAAAAUAAUCAUAUUCACAGAGAUAUUAAAAGUGCAAAUAUCUUAUUAACUGACAUGUACGUGCCUAAAAUUUCUGACUUUGGCCUUGCAAGAGCAUCUGUAACAUUCACACAGACAAUCAUGACUGAAAGAAUUGUUGGAACAGCAGCCUAUAUGGCACCUGAAGCUCUGCGAGGAGAGAUAACACCAAAAUCUGAUAUCUUCAGUUUCGGAGUAGUGUUACUAGAAAUAAUAACAGGUCUUCCUCCAGUAGAUGAAAACCGGGAGCCACAGUUGCUGUUAAGUAUAAAAGACGAAAUUGAGGAUGAGGAAGCAACUGUUGAGGAAUAUGUUGAUGAAAAGAUGAGUGACUGGGAUGUACCUUCAAUUCAUAAAAUGUAUUCAAUUGCUGAUCGGUGUCUGAAUGACAAAAAAACCAGAAGGCCAGACAUUAAGAUGGUCCAACAGCAGCUCCAAGAGAUAAAAACUUCAUAAUGUGUUUCUUCUGACACACCAAUGUUUCUGUAAUAGAGACCCUAGUACCAAAUUAUUAAUUAGUAUUUAGUGCAACAUUAUCAGUGGUUCUGCUUUCCAGAACUUUCUAGGCACAUGUAAGGGCAAGAGGAGGUCUUCAAGCAAAUUAUUUUCAGUUUAGACAAAGUGUUAAUGGAACAACAUUACAAGUAGUUUCAUUACAGUAGCUCAUGCUGAGCAAGUAAGAGCAGAUCGAACUGUUAAAUCACCAGUCAACUACUUCAGCAUUUUAAAAGGAUAGAAGAAAUUUUUGAAGGGGCUUAUUAUUGAAAGCACAAAAACUUCAAGAGAUCCUUGGAUCCUGCUAUGGAGCCCUCCGUGCUGCUCCCAUAAAGCAAUGGGAAAGUAGCUGUUCCUAACAUAGUGAUUUUUCUCUAAUAGCAAAAGCCAGGAAUUCUGUUUCUGCUCACCUCUCUUCUUACACCCUGCAGUCACUUUCUAGUCCCAUGAAAACUGCCUAUUACAAAGAGACUGAUUCAGACAACACCAAGCUAAAGCAUCAAUCUUUAUUUAUAAAGUAAAUUACAAAAUAGAUAAGGUAAACUUCAUUAAUUUUAGCAUCUGAAGGUGGCUUUCAUUGAACACAUAAACACACUGAUAAACAAAUUUUUUAUUUACAGUGUCUAUCUGACAAAUUUUACCUUGAUUAGUUUAAUCUUUGAUAGGAGUGUUUUAAAAGAUCAAGAUUCCCUAACUUGCAACAUAAACAUUUAUUAAAUAAUAGCUUAUGAGUUAACUGCAAGCAGCUGCAUUGCUUUUGGACUUUAUGAAGGCCAACAACAAUUUGAAUGGACACUUUCAAUUAUUUAAUUACCAGAGACAGUUAAAGGAGCAACUUUGAUUAAUGCCCAUAUUUUGCACUGGUUCUAAACAUUCAUAAACAGAAGUGGAGGCAACUAUGUAGAUGUAAACAUGAUAGAUCUUACAAAAAGAACAGAUACUUAUUGCUGUUAGGAGAAUAGCUACAAGAGGCCUGGAGAAGCAGCCAGCUGUGCAAGGCUUCAUACAAUUCUCUUUCUGGGGAAGGGUGAGGAUGAGACAUGCUCAGGACAUGACUGACUCGUAAGGUAAUUUACAAUGUCUGGUUUGGGCUGAACUCUAAAGCAGCUCAUCAUAAAUGCUCUUGCAUAAUCACUUAACCAGCUCUCAUCAUCCUCCAGAUUAAGUUUUCCAUCUUCUAUCCUCAUCUACCUAGGGAAGGAUUACAAAAACAAAACAAACCCAACAAAAACAAAACAACAAAAAUCAACCAAAAUAACAGAGGAAAAAAAAAUCCAAAACAAACAUCCAACAAAACCCCCACAACAUGCACACAACCCUAUCAGGUCAAGCUGUUCAUUAUUUUAAACAUUUAGUCUUAAGAAGCUGAACUUCCUUCAACUUGGACUAGAUUCACACAACCAUCAAGCAGUAAUUUUUAAAUGCUACACUCCUUAAAACCCAAACAAAACCUCCAAAGUGAAUUAGAUGUGUUGCAAAUAUUCUGAGUUAAUCUAAAAAUACAUUUAAUUACAGUGUACAAUGAGUUGCACACACAGUAACCAUAUUUAAAAAACAAUGACACUUGCCUGACACAUAAUACACAAGAAACCCUUAGAAGAUCAGCUCCUUACCCUAGAGGGAGAAGGCAAGAAGCAGGAAAAGAACACAAGAGCUAAGGGCAAGCAGAAGAUUAGCUGAGGAUCAAGAGCUAUUCAAUUGGACUGAUGUAGUGUGUAAAAUUAAAUUAAAAUGCUGAAGUGUAAAAUUGCUGCUGCAUAUAAAAAAACCACAGUAAAACCAAAUAUUGCAACCUUCACAUUACAUAGUGCAAUCUCAGAUGUCAAUAGCAAGCUAGUAUAGCCAAAUAAUAGAUUAAAUAAUUUUUUAUCAGGAACCACUAGUGUCAAAACAUUAUUCCCUACAAAACUAGGUUAAAGUCCAUCUUCCACCAGGUAAACACACAAUUCAGCUCUAUAAUGACUAUAUCCAGCAGCUACAAUAAUAUCCAAUGAACCAAGCUGGCAACUCCCAUGUAGAUUUAAAAAAAAUCCAAAACCAACAAAACUCAAAAACCACAAAGGUCACAUACAAGACACUAAAAUGCAAGUCCUCACUGGGAAUAUAACCUAUUCAUGAGUAUUUGCUUCAUCACACAGUUAAAUAUUUAAGAUGAUCCAAUACUUGAGUUCCACAUCUAAUUCUCCCUUAAUGCACUUACUGAAAUAAUCUACUUUUCCUCUUCCUGUUAAACACAUUACUUACAGUUCAAUCAAAUUUAGACUUGAUUAUUCUGGCUGAUUUUGAUAUUUUGAAGAAGGGAAGAAGAGAGGGAAAAAACCACAAAAUCCUAACUAGGGGCUUGCUGCCAGCAGUUAUUCAAGACCUAGUUGGAUUUAAAUUACAGAUGUAAGUUACUAUUGAAGUUCAAAUAUUUAGGAAAAGUAGUUUUCAGAAUAUCUUGAAAGCAGACAUUGCAGUUGAUACUGCAAACACAGUAGGACCUUAAGCAUAACUCACUGUUAUGAAGCAAGGCUACUUCAAUUUUUACUGGACUUACACAUUUUUAGAUCUAAGUGCAUCAAUAAUUAGUUACUUACUAGAUUCUUCAGGCAUAUUGCUCUGAAAGCAGAUCCAUAAUCUAUUGAUUAAUAAUCUAAUAAUAACCUAACUCAUGGACUUUUAAUCACCUUAUACUUGGUCAUUCAGUACCUAAUAUGUAACAGAAGUGAUAGAGAAGUCUGAAAAAGCUAUGGUGUUUUAUGUCAGAUUUCUUUAAAAGAUAAUUCAUGAAAUUAGUUAAAUUUGAGAUGACCAAGUUUUUGCCUAGGAAAAUGUCCUCCUAUUCCUGAAUGCUUAUAUUAAUUGAACAGUAACUAAUUCUAGUUUAUCUUUUCCAUUACAAGAAAAAAAAA
Non-coding RNA from Cyanistes caeruleus (blue tit), 4421 nucleotides. NCBI's taxonomy places the organism in Eukaryota, Metazoa, Chordata, Aves, Passeriformes, Paridae. The record is from RefSeq and is a predicted model, not a curated record.